GUAUUAGAUAGCUAGUCACUCAAAUCAUGUAAUAACAAGUCAAUGGCUUACGCAGUAGCAGUGAAAUGAGCACGCACUCCAGACACUUGAUAUGAUUUAUCCAUUUUUUAAAAACUCGCCCACCACCUUUUAUACUAAAUGCGCGAAUACAUCUUUUCCAUUAAACCAGCACGAGGGAGUUAGCAUAAAUGAUUCUAAGUAAGAGUUU
Molecule: long non-coding RNA, 208 nt
Filed under: Actinidia chinensis (golden kiwifruit)
Lineage: Eukaryota; Viridiplantae; Streptophyta; Magnoliopsida; Ericales; Actinidiaceae
Description: long non-coding RNA (ACHI_LNC000135)
Source: RNAcentral